AUCUGUCGAUGAUCUCACUCCUCCUCCCAAGGGAUCGUCGGCCCGAACAGCGGCACUCCUCCUCCCAAGCCGCUUGUUCAUUUUUCGGAAAAGCUGCCGCACCUCCUCCCGCGGCGGGCUUUUUCG
Molecule: small RNA, 126 nt
Filed under: Xaviernesmea oryzae
Lineage: Bacteria; Pseudomonadati; Pseudomonadota; Alphaproteobacteria; Hyphomicrobiales; Rhizobiaceae
Description: Rhizobium oryzae Alphaproteobacterial ar14
Rfam family: Alphaproteobacterial ar14
About the family: Smr14C2 was renamed NfeR1 (Nodule Formation Efficiency RNA) highly expressed in salt stress and during the symbiotic interaction on legume roots.
Source: Rfam by way of RNAcentral